This 1056-nucleotide long non-coding RNA is filed under the name Homo sapiens (human). RNAcentral's name for it is "HSALNT0049151". The record is from RNAcentral. Lineage: Eukaryota; Metazoa; Chordata; Mammalia; Primates; Hominidae.
AAUUUGGACACAGAGACAGACAUGCACAGAGGCAGAACACCACGUGAAGAUAAAAGCAGAGAGGGAGGUGAUGGUUUUACACCAAGCAUCACCGAAGAUCGCCAGCCACACGCCAGGGGCAGCUGAAUGCCGUGCAGGUGCUGCAGCCUCUCACCUGAAUCCCAGAGCUCUUGUGAAGUUACUUUCAUCUAUGGAUGGUUAUUAAAUUGGUGUUUUCAGCUUACAGUGAAAGAUCUUCAGAACACCAAUUCAGUUGCCUUCAGGGUUAAACCAUAAUAUCAACACAAAAUGGAUCAAGAGCCAGUCAUCCUAAAAAGACCACAUGCAUGGCCCCUGAUCUAGCAAAAGUAGUCACAAAUGCAGCUGAAUGUGUGGAAACCUCUAAGAGAAAAUGUGUGAAUCACAGAAAGAGUGGCUCCAGUCAUGGAACGUGGAGAAAGCUGCCACAGAAGCAAAGGCUGCCUAUGCUCAUGCCAGCACUGACAGGGAGAACUCUCCGCCCUCUACCUUGGGUAUUCUGGCUCCAAUGACAGGGCUGUCUCUGGAAUGAAGUUCUGGAUCAUAGUCCUGAGAGAAAUUCCAAGACUCAUCUUUUUUCAUCCAGAUUUCUACACUCCAGAAGGGUAAAGAAAAAGAAAAAGAAAAAAUUUUAAAAAGAUAUAGGUUAAUGAAAUUUUAAAAAGACGUAGGUUAAUUGUAAGUUAUUGCAAUAUAAACAUAAGCCUAACUUUAUAUGUUAUUGCAUAGGAUAAAAGUUUGAAUAAAAUAAGCUGGACAGAUGAGAUUCAUAUAUGUGCUUGUAAAUGCACUAAAAAAAGAAAAAAAACUGCUGAUGUAAAAAUAUUGAGUUUUAGUUUACUCAAUAUUUUUUAAGUGUGAUACAAUAGUAUUCUACUGUAUUAUUAUAAUCAUGUAAAAACAAUAUGUUAAUGCUGGGAUUAUACAAUCACAGAUGACCUUUUUUGUAAUGUUUUAUCUUACUUUUUUUCUUCAAAUGAUUCACUAAAAUACGAAAGAUUUUGUUGCCUGUUGAACUCUCCAGGAAUUAUCCCUUGC